This 464-nucleotide ribosomal RNA is filed under the name uncultured bacterium. RNAcentral's name for it is "bacterial SSU rRNA". It matches the Rfam family "Bacterial small subunit ribosomal RNA", at positions 30 to 493 of the family's 1533-position model. The record is from RNAcentral.
AUUGAACGCUGGCGGCAUGCCUUACACAUGCAAGUCGAACGGCAGCACGGGAGCAAUCCUGGUGGCGAGUGGCGAACGGGUGAGUAAUAUAUCGGAACGUGCCCGGUCGUGGGGAUAACGUAGCGAAAGCUACGCUAAUACCGCAUACGAUCUAUGGAUGAAAGCGGGGGAUCGCAAGACCUCGCGCGAUUGGAGCGGCCGAUAUCAGAUUAGGUAGUUGGUGAGGUAAAGGCUCACCAAGCCGACGAUCUGUAGCUGGUCUGAGAGGACGACCAGCCACACUGGGACUGAGACACGGCCCAGACUCCUACGGGAGGCAGCAGUGGGGAAUUUUGGACAAUGGGCGCAAGCCUGAUCCAGCCAUGCCGCGUGCAGGAUGACGGUCCUAUGGAUUGUAAACUGCUUUUGUACGAGAAGAAACAACAUUACGUGUAAUGUCUUGACGGUAUCGUAAGAAUAAGGAU